This 253-nucleotide ribosomal RNA is filed under the name uncultured bacterium. Its description in RNAcentral is "partial 16S ribosomal RNA". It matches the Rfam family "Bacterial small subunit ribosomal RNA", at positions 524 to 776 of the family's 1533-position model. The record is from RNAcentral.
UACAGAGGUCCCAAGCGUUGUUCGGAUUCAUUGGGCGUAAAGGGUGCGUAGGCGGCGCGGUAAGUCGGGUGUGAAAUCUUGGAGCUUAACUCCGAAACUGCAUUCGAUACUGCCGUGCUUGAGGACUGGAGAGGAGUCUGGAAUUUACGGUGUAGCGGUGAAAUGCGUAGAUAUCGUAAGGAAGACCAGUGGCGAAGGCGGGUCUCUGGACAGUUCCUGACGCUGAGGCACGAAGGCCAGGGGAGCAAACGGG